RNAcentral lists this ribosomal RNA (459 nucleotides) under uncultured bacterium. RNAcentral describes it as "partial 16S ribosomal RNA". It matches the Rfam family "Bacterial small subunit ribosomal RNA", at positions 338 to 795 of the family's 1533-position model. The record is from RNAcentral.
CCUACGGGUGGCAGCAGUGAGGAAUAUUGGUCAAUGGGCGGAAGCCUGAACCAGCCAAGUAGCGUGCAGGAUGACGGCCCUAUGGGUUGUAAACCUCUUUUGUCGGAGAACAAAACCCGGGACGUGUCCCGGACUGCGUGUAUCCGAAGAAAAAGCAUCGGCUAACUCCGUGCCAGCAGCCGCGGUAAUACGGAGGAUGCGAGCGUUAUCCGGAUUUAUUGGGUUUAAAGGGUGCGCAGGCGGCGAGUUAAGUCAGCGGUAAAAUUUCGGGGCUCAACCCCGACGAGCCGUUGAAACUGGCUGGCUAGAGUGGGCGAGAAGUAUGCGGAAUGCGUGGUGUAGCGGUGAAAUGCAUAGAUAUCACGCAGAACUCCGAUUGCGAAGGCAGCAUACCGGCGCCCAACUGACGCUCAGGCACGAAAGCGUGGGUAUCGAACAGGAUUAGAUACCCUUGUAGUC